GCGCGUGAGGACUUCGGCGCGCGCCGGAAGCACGUGCGCGGGCUGGGCGCUCUGGCGGUGUGCGCUGAGCAUCUGUCCCAGUGUCAGGCACAUUUUAGGUGCCCAACAAACAUCUGUGGAAUGAAUGAAUGAGUGCUGGCACCACCUAUAAGCACACAGUAAGGAUAACCAUGGAGAGAAUAUGCCGAGCCUUUUAAUCAGCCCAGAAGAGCGCCUUCUGUGUUAAGGCGAAAUGCCAGAAUCCCAAGGAACAGAUUCACCACCCAGGGGCGGGACUCAGGGACUGCUGAUACUGAGGCUGCCCUGUGGGUUUUCCUUCCAGAUCCCUUCUUGAUUUGCCCAAAAGAAUUUCACGUUUUGUUUCAGUUAAGGAGAGGCCUUUCCUUACUGCUGACUUUAAGGAAACUGGAAAUUGUGCUUGUGGGGGAAGUGGCUUUGGAACUUGGGGCCUCUUUGGGACCUGGUAGGCAAUGGGGUUUGGGGGCAAGUUUGUGGGACAUGUGUCUGAACAGGAAGGAAGGGAGGAGCAGUGGGGCCAGCCAGGAAGCAGUGCCGAAUGCAGAUUUCUCUUCUUGUGCAGCUUUGCUUAGAGUUGAACAUUACUUCCCAGAGAUAGAUUGACCCCAAUCCUGCAGAGAUUGGCUAUCCUGCUCUUCAACUUAUUUUUAGAUAUAUGGUCUCACUUGAAUCUCACAUCCAAUGAGGAGUUCCUGACCCCUCAAUUUAGCUCCACCUGGCAUUCCAGAGCAAUUCAAGGACCUGGUAGGGCUACUAGCAAUCCACUGCUACAUAUAGGGGAACAAUGAGUUUUAAAGCUGCUCAGAAAUCUGUGAUUCGAGUAUCAGGAAAUCCUUGACUCUUUAUCAAAUGUGAAGUUGCUGAUUUAAGAAAUAAAGUUAAGAAACAAUAUUCAUUAACAGAAUGGAAUUUAAUGCAACCGCUGGUGUUUUGGGGUUAUUUUCUGGUCACAUAGUGCCCCCUGGUGGGUUCACUGACAUACUCUUCUGGAAUGCUCCUUUCCCAGGCUGUGCUUUGUGACAAGGCCAGCACCAGCAGGGUGAUUCCAAGAAUUUGCAGUUUAGGCACAGUCCAACGAUGCUCUAAAGAUUGUCUGUUAAGGGAAAAUAUGAGUUAUGAAAAUGCUGUGGGUUGUACUGUAUCCCCCACCAAAAGAUACGUUAAAGUCCUAAGCCCCAAUACCUGUGAAUGCAGACUUAUUUGGAAAAAGGGUCUUUGCAGAUGUAACUAUGAAACUAAGGUGAGGUCAUUAGGGCAAGCCCUUAAUCCAGUAUGACUGUGUUCUUAUAAGAGGAGGAGAGGCUGGGUGCAGUGGCUCACACCUGUAAUCCCAGCGAUUUGGGAGGCUGAGGCGGGAGGAUCGCUUGAGCCCAGGAUUUGCUGGGCAACAUAUCGAGACCCCAUCUCUACUAAAAAUUUAAAAAUUAGCCAGACAUGGUGGCACGCAGCUGUAGUCUCACCUACUUGGAAGGCUAGUGGGAGGAUGGCUUGAGCCCAGGAGUCCGAGGCUGCAGUGAGCUAUGAUCAUAUCAAUGCACUCCAGUCUGGGCAACAAGGGAGACCCUGACUCAAAAAAACAAAACAAAAACAAAACAAAACAAAACAAAAAAAGAGGAGGAGAGAGACACACAAGGAGAGAAUGCCAUGUGACAAUGGAGACAGACACUGGACUGAUGCACCUGCAGACCGAGGAAUGCGCAAGGAUUGCCAGCAGCCCCCAGAAGCCAGGAGCGGGACAUGGAAUAGAGUCUCUCUCAACCCCUCAGAAAGUUCUAAUCCUGCUGAUGCCUUGAUUUUGGACUUCAGCGUCCAGAACUGUGAGAUGAGAUAUGUUUGUUGCUUAAGCCUCCCGGUUUAUGCUGCUUUGUGAUGGCAGCCCAAGCAGACGAAUACAGAAAGAAAUGGGGAUUUGAGUUGGAAGAACUGCUUUGAGUCCCAGCUACCACUUAGUACCUGAAUGACCUUGGGCAAAGAAGUUCAAUUUUUCUGAGCCUCAGUUUUAUAAACUGCAAAAUGGAGAAAUACAAAAGUAACUGUUCUCCUGCCUCAGGAUCCCUGUGAGGAUGAAGUGUGACUAUGUGUAUAAAAAUAUUUUGUUUAUUGUACAGCACUGUGUACUGCAAUCUUAUUACACAAAGAAAGGAAGGUGGGAGGUAGUAGAGCGGAGUGAUUACAAGCUAGGCUCUGGCUGGGCACAGUGGCUCAUGCCUGUAAUCUCAGCACUUUGGGAGGCUGAGGUGGGUGGAUCACCUGAGGUCAGGAGUUUGACCUGGCCAACAUGGUGAAAUCCCAUCUCUACUAGAAAUACAAAAAAAAAAAAAAAAAUUAGCCAGGUGUGGUGGUGGGUGCCUGUAAUCCUAGCUUCUUGGGUGGCUGAAGCAGAAGAAUCACUUGAACCUGGGAGGCAGAGAUUGCAGUGAGCCAAGAUCGCGCCAUUGCACUCCAGCCUGGGCAACAGAGCGAGACUCCAUCUCAAAAAAAAAAAAAAAAAAGCUAGACUCUGAAGUCAGUUUGCCAGGGUCUGUGAGUGGAAAUGUUACAAAGAAGCUUCUCAUGAAAACUUGACUCUCAAAUGAGCCAAAGGCAGUGAUGCCCAGAAAUGGAGUUGUGGUAACACUUAAAGGAAUGUAUCAGUUGUCUAUUGCUCUAUAAUGAACCCCAAAACUUAGUAGCUUCAAAUGAUUAGCUUAUUCUUUCACACGGUCUCCGUGGAUCAGGAGUCAAGGGCAACUUAAUUGGGUGCUUCUCACUUGGAGUCUCUUGUGAGACUACAGUCACCUGAGGUUUAGACUGGGGCUGGAGGACCCACUUCCCAGAUGGCUCACCCACCUGGCUGUCGGCAGGAGGCUGCAGUUCCUCUCCAUGUGGUCGUCUUCACAGGUCUGGACUUGGGAGAGGGAUCUGGACUGAAGUGGAGGAAUCCAGUACAAGUAGUGGAGCCGUCUGAAAUCUUGCAUUUCAGAAUGGAUGGGUAUAUCAUACCUUAUUUAACCAGCAUCCUAUUGUUGGACUGUUAGGUUUUUCUAUCAAAAAUAACCCUGUGAUGAGCCUCUUGAAAUUGCUGUCUUUGCAUGGAUCCACUAUAUUUCCUUUGGAUAAUUCCAAAAACGAACAAUGGGUGUGUGUGAGUUAAAGCGUUUAACUUAUUUCCAAAGUAACUUCCAUCCCCGUGUGUGAGAAGGCUCACCUGCGCCUUUCCACCACUGGCUGUUAAAAAAUUUUGAAACUCU
This 3248-nucleotide long non-coding RNA is filed under the name Homo sapiens (human). RNAcentral describes it as "non-protein coding lnc-CCSAP-1:3". Lineage: Eukaryota; Metazoa; Chordata; Mammalia; Primates; Hominidae. The record is from RNAcentral.